Molecule: unclassified non-coding RNA, 1866 nt
Filed under: Nilaparvata lugens (brown planthopper)
Lineage: Eukaryota; Metazoa; Arthropoda; Insecta; Hemiptera; Delphacidae
Description: protein artemis, transcript variant X1
Source: RNAcentral
CAGGAUUAGUCAUUUCUUCUUACUUUCAAGGAUUUAAGGAAAAAGAACAGGAUAAAAAUAAUGAUAGGCUACAGUACCUGAAGUAUUUGAGGAGUGUUUCGGCAUUAUAGAAUCGCAGCUUUGCUAAGAGGCUCACUACUAUCAGCAAUUGUCCAGGCUACGUGAAUGUAGGACACUUUUAAGACAAUCUUCAAAUUCUUGAUACAUCCGAUGUCGACUUUCAAUGGAAGGCUUCAAAAUCCUCUGUUCAAUUUCAUUGCAAUUGAUGAAUUCACUUUGAGAAAUCACGAUGCUACAUUUUUCUUUGUAUCGCAUGCACACAGCGAUCAUCUACGAGGACUGGAAUGUCAUGGAGAAACGCUGUUUGGUCGAAAUAGUAAUAAGACCUUGUACUGCUCUAGCACAACAAAACGAUUGCUGCAGAUAAAAUAUUCUAAUAUUCCUGCUGAUAGUUUCAAGUCACUCGACAUCGGUGACGUAAAAAUACUUGAGUCCUCUCUGGAAAAUUAAUGCCGAAACUCACCUUCAGUUACAGUCACUGUGCUACCUGCUUCACAUAUUCUUGGGUCAGUUAUGUUUCUCUUCCAGUGUCAAAAUAUUACUGCCUUGUACACGGGCGACUUUAGGAUAUAUAAUACAACAGACAUAUCAAAAAUUAAGUGGCUGCAUGACGAGGUUGGAAGGCCUUUGAGAAUCACCGAUCUCUAUUUGGACACUACAUUUGCUGACAAGGAUUAUAUGUGGUUUCCGAGGCGAUGUUAUGCCCCCCUAAGAUAAUCGAAUUGAGUGAACAGCAUCUUAAUAUAUCAGUCAUAAAUUAUGUUGCUUUGACACUGCCAUCUUACUAUGGGUAUGAACACCUGAUAAUCGAGGUUAGUAGGGGGUUAAAUAGAAGAAUUCUUGUGAAUGAGGAUGAUUUCCCACAUUUCAAAAGCUUUCCCGAAAUGGAUGAAUGUAUAAUUUUCUAUAAUAAAUUUAGUCCUGAAGCCAAUAAACAACCCAUAAUAGAUAGCAAUAGAAUACAUGUGUGUAUAAAUAGACCGUUAAUUUGCUCAAAUGAGCUGCUUUUCUGUGAUAUUUGUUUUAAUAGUAAUAGUGGAAAACUAAGAGUGCUCAUGCCAUGUGCAAAAUCGUUUAAAUUAGACCUUGAUGACCAUGUCAAUAGUUUUAGAGCGGAUACAUUCUCCAAUUUCAGCAUAGCUCACUCACUGCAUUGCUCAUUGACUGAACUCCGGUGUUUUACAAACUAUCUGAGACCAAUCAAUAUAUAUCCUUUAGUGACUAAAGGACCUGAAGAAACCACACUUAUCCGAGCUCUGCUAUUGGACAAUCACAAGAAGAAUACUUCUAAUUAAUAAUCCAAUGAGUCAUUUUCACUUGUACAACAGUGCUGUUCAGUUAAGGAAUUCACAAAAAAUAAGACACUGUUUUCAACAUAGAUUUUUAAAACUCACUCUUUUGAUCACAAUACUACUGAUAUAUGCCUAGUAUGUAAAAAGUACUAUUGUAUAAAUAAAUAUGUGUAUAAAGGAAAUGUAGAAGGUGCUGUAGAAGUUAUAAUGUGUCACUGUGUAUAAGUGUAUAAAGUAUAUGACAGUAUGCACUGAGUAUAUAAUUUGAUUUCUACUACAUUGAAUGUAACAUUGAGAAACAUUGUUUGUAUAGCAUAUUUUUUAUUAUUCAUUAUAUUGGUGUGGCAACUGAUACAAGUUUAUAAAAAAAUAAAUGUAAGUAUAAUUCUAUAAGUGAUAUUGUAUGUAUAUGAUAUUGUAUGUAUGUUUUGUAUCAAUGAUUUUGUGAAUUUUUAAUUCAUUUUGUAAAAUAUUACAACAAUAAAUGAAUUUCAGUUUGGAAGACACCCCAAGA